UCCUCUAUCAGAAGACAUCUCGCCUAAUAAU
RNAcentral lists this non-coding RNA (31 nucleotides) under Rattus norvegicus (Norway rat). Lineage: Eukaryota; Metazoa; Chordata; Mammalia; Rodentia; Muridae. The record is from RNAcentral.